GACGAACGCUGGCGGCGUGCCUAAUACAUGCAAGUUGAGCGCUGAAGGUUGGUACUUGUACCAACUGGAUGAGCAGCGAACGGGUGAGUAACGCGUGGGGAAUCUGCCUUUGAGCGGGGGACAACAUUUGGAAACGAAUGCUAAUGCCGCAUAAAAACUUUAAACACAAGUUUUAAGUUUGAAAGAUGCAAUUGCAUCACUCAAAGAUGAUCCCGCGUUGUAUUAGCUAGUUGGUGAGGUAAAGGCUCACCAAGGCGAUGAUACAUAGCCGACCUGAGAGGGUGAUCGGCCACAUUGGGACUGAGACACGGCCCAAACUCCUACGGGAGGCAGCAGUAGGGAAUCUUCGGCAAUGGACGAAAGUCUGACCGAGCAACGCCGCGUGAGUGAAGAAGGGUUUCGGAUCGUAAAACUCUGUUGGUAGAGAAGAACGUUGGUGAGAGUGGAAAGCUCAUCAAGUGACGGUAACUACCCAGAAAGGGACGGCUAACUACGUG
RNAcentral lists this ribosomal RNA (497 nucleotides) under uncultured bacterium. RNAcentral's name for it is "partial 16S ribosomal RNA". It matches the Rfam family "Bacterial small subunit ribosomal RNA", at positions 28 to 507 of the family's 1533-position model. The record is from RNAcentral.